CUAUUACGCUCUGUUACAGAGACUUUACAGGCAGCUGUCCUGCCCUGCUCUGCCCUGCUCUGCCGUGCUCUGCCGUGCUCUGCCGUGCUCUGCCGUGCUCUGCCCUGCUUUGCCCUCCUCUGCCCUGCUCUCUGCCCUGCCUUGAGCGAUCUCAAGCCCGCUUGGCCGCAGUUACAACAUGAGCGAGAGGGGCGGCUUAGUGUUCAAAUAUGGAGACGACCAAUGUACGCAGACGGUCCUUGUGAACAACCUUGCAGAAGAAAAGAAGACCCAGCUGUACGUUAAAAACCUAGAGAAAGCUCUAGCCCUCCGCUUUAAGGAGAUCGAGAAAGAGAAAUUAAACCUGAAGAAGUUUUGGGUGAAGCUUCACCAAACAACUGGAUAUUUUCCUCACAGAAAAUUAUGGUGAUGGUUGCUAUUGCCGUGAAAGAGUCAUCUUAAAGCUUCAAAUUCAAAACCACCGAGUCUAUCUUCUCUUCAUAUAACCAAAGGAAGCAGUAAAAAAAGGCAACCAUGAACUAAGACUUUAACUGACGACAUAAAUGAUGCAUCUUCGAAAGAAUCCACCUCAUCUCCCCACAACAAUAAAUAAGCCUUGACUUUAAAAAAAAAAAAUCAGUCUAGAUUUUGUACAUAUGGCUCAGCUUGUGGACGUGAACAGGGCAUAAUAUACAUGUUCGUGAUACAAAAGCACUUUCUAUAAUAGCAAAUACAUCUCAAAACAGGAGGUGACAUGCAUGCCUACUGGAUCUACACCCUUCUCAUGAUGAUCAUGAAUUAAUCUUUGAAACUAUAAGAAGACUGUCAAGUAAAGGCUGCCUUUAUAAGCUGUCUUGGUCUUGCUGUUUCAGCAAAAUAACAGAACAGUAACUAAUAGAGUAAACUUCAUUUCUUUGGAGUCAAA
Molecule: long non-coding RNA, 904 nt
Organism: Mastomys coucha (southern multimammate mouse)
Lineage: Eukaryota; Metazoa; Chordata; Mammalia; Rodentia; Muridae
Exons: 2
Source: RefSeq, a predicted model, not a curated record